AUUGAACGCUGGCGGCAGGCCUAACACAUGCAAGUCGAACGGUAGCACAAAGGAGCUUGCUCCUUGGGUGACGAGUGGCGGACGGGUGAGUAAUGUCUGGGAAACUGCCCGAUGGAGGGGGAUAACUACUGGAAACGGUAGCUAAUACCGCAUAACGUCGCAAGACCAAAGAGGGGGGACCUUCGGGCCUCUUGCCAUCGGAUGUGCCCAGAUGGGAUUAGCUAGUAGGUGGGGUAAAUGGCUCACCUAGGCGACGAUCCCUAGCUGGUCUGAGAGGAUGGACCAGGCCACACUGGAACUGAGACACGGUCCAGACUCCUACGGA
RNAcentral lists this ribosomal RNA (325 nucleotides) under uncultured bacterium. RNAcentral describes it as "bacterial SSU rRNA". It matches the Rfam family "Bacterial small subunit ribosomal RNA", at positions 30 to 345 of the family's 1533-position model. The record is from RNAcentral.